This 468-nucleotide ribosomal RNA is filed under the name uncultured bacterium. RNAcentral's name for it is "partial 16S ribosomal RNA". It matches the Rfam family "Bacterial small subunit ribosomal RNA", at positions 28 to 507 of the family's 1533-position model. The record is from RNAcentral.
GACGAACGCUGGCGGCGUGCUUAACACAUGCAAGUCGAACGGAAAGGCCCUGCUUUUGUGGGGUGCUCGAGUGGCGAACGGGUGAGUAACACGUGAGUAACCUGCCCUUGACUUUGGGAUAACUUCAGGAAACUGGGGCUAAUACCGGAUAGGAGCUCCUGCUGCAUGGUGGGGGUUGGAAAGUUUCGGCGGUUGGGGAUGGACUCGCGGCUUAUCAGCUUGUUGGUGGGGUAGUGGCUUACCAAGGCUUUGACGGGUAGCCGGCCUGGGAGGGUGACCGGCCACAUUGGGACUGAGAGACGGCCCAGACGCCUACGGGAGGCAGAAGUGGGGAAUAUUGCACAAUGGGCGGAAGCCUGAUGCAGCAACGCCGCGUGCGGGAUGACGGCCUUCGGGUUGUAAACCGCUUUCGCCUGUGACGAAGCGUGAGUGACGGUAAUGGGUAAAGAAGCACCGGCUAACUACGUG